GACAGAGGGGGCAAGCGUUGCUCGGAAUCACUGGGCGUAAAGGGCGCGUAGGCGGGAUGGCAAGUCAGUCGUGAAAUCUCUCGGCUCAACCGAGAAACGUCGGCUGAUACUGCCGUUCUUGAGGGAUGCAGAGGAGACUGGAAUUCCCGGUGUAGCGGUGAAAUGUGUAGAGAUCGGGAGGAACGACCGGUGGCGAAGGCGGGUCUCUGGGCAUUUCCUGACGCUGAGGCGCGAAAGCGUGGGGAGCAA
This 249-nucleotide ribosomal RNA is filed under the name uncultured bacterium. Its description in RNAcentral is "partial 16S ribosomal RNA". It matches the Rfam family "Bacterial small subunit ribosomal RNA", at positions 524 to 771 of the family's 1533-position model. The record is from RNAcentral.